GGACUACCAGGGUAUCUAAUCCUGUUUGCUCCCCACGCUUUCGUGCCUCAACGUCAGAUAUGGACCAAGAAGCUGCUUUCGCCAUCGGUGUUCCUCUCGAGAUCUACGCAUUUUACCGCUACUCCGAGAAUUCCACUUCUCUCUUCCAUCCUCAAGUUUAUCAGUAUCUCUCGCUGAUCCUCAGUUAGGCUGAGGUAUUAAACAAAAGACUUAAUGAACCGUCUACGCACCCUUUACGCCCAGUAAUUCCGAAUAACGCUUGCACCUCUCGUAUUACCGCGGCUGCUGGCAC
This 292-nucleotide ribosomal RNA is filed under the name uncultured bacterium. RNAcentral describes it as "partial 16S ribosomal RNA". The record is from RNAcentral.